AUGGCUCCUUUGUUCCUCUGCAUAUUUUGUCUUUCUCUUUGCCAUUUGUUUCCUUCACUUUCUUGUGUUCAGAGAUGUACUAUCAGAUUGAUUUAUUACAUUGGUCAGUUUGUUUUGAACUGUAUUCAAGUUUCUUAUUCUUUCCAUCUAUGUUGGCCUUUGUUUACUGCUAUAUUCAAUUGA
Non-coding RNA from Vicia faba (fava bean), 183 nucleotides. The record is from the annotation of a GenBank genome assembly. Lineage: Eukaryota; Viridiplantae; Streptophyta; Magnoliopsida; Fabales; Fabaceae.